CAGCAGCCACGGUAAUACGAGGGGGGCAAGCGUUACUCGGAAUUACUGGGCGUAAAGCGUGCGUAGGUGGUGGUUUAAGUCCGUUGUGAAAGCCCUGGGCUCAACCUGGGAAUUGCAGUGGAUACUGGGUCACUAGAGUGUGGUAGAGGAUAGUGGAAUUUCCGGUGUAGCAGUGAAAUGCGUAGAGAUCGGAAGGAACAUCUGUGGCGAAGGCGACUAUCUGGGCCAACACUGACACUGAGGCACGAAAGCGUGGGGAGCAAACAGGAUUAGAUACCCCGGUAGUCCCUGUCUCUUAUAC
This 301-nucleotide ribosomal RNA is filed under the name uncultured bacterium. RNAcentral's name for it is "partial 16S ribosomal RNA". It matches the Rfam family "Bacterial small subunit ribosomal RNA", at positions 509 to 807 of the family's 1533-position model. The record is from RNAcentral.